ACAGAGGGUGCAAACGUUGUUCGGAAUUACUGGGCGUAAAGCGCGUGUAGGCUGCUCGGAAAGUCGGAUGUGAAAGCCCUGGGCUCAACCUAGGAAGUGCAUUCGAAACUUCUGAGCUUGAGUAUCGGAGAGGGUCGCGGAAUUCUCGGUGUAGAGGUGAAAUGCGUAGAGAUCGGGAGGAACAUCAGUGGCGAAGGCGGCCACCUGGGUCAACACUGACGCUGAAGCACGAAAGCGUGGGGAGCAAACAGGA
This 253-nucleotide ribosomal RNA is filed under the name uncultured prokaryote. RNAcentral describes it as "partial 16S ribosomal RNA". It matches the Rfam family "Bacterial small subunit ribosomal RNA", at positions 525 to 777 of the family's 1533-position model. The record is from RNAcentral.